UAGCACUAUAGGUAUGAUUUAAAUAUAGGGGAAUAUGCUCUUUCUGUCUUUCUCCGUAAACAGGACUAUCUGCAGAAUCUAUACAUAAAGUAAGUGGGGAGUUCAUGGCAAGCUUCUGCGGGGGAAGGGAGAAGAGGACCAGCACUGUGGUUAAAAAACUGCCGGAGCCGACUGUGUUUGUCCGGAGCUUCUGGGUGAAUCAGGUUCCAAUCUUGACAUCUGGACAAAUCCAUAAAAAGAUCUUCAUGGGUUUUUCACCACCAGAUAUAACUCAGGGCGUAAGUAGAAAUUGGGAUCAUAACUAGUUAGGCCUGAAUAAUCUUUGUCAUGGGUAAUAAUGCAUGGGAAAGAAAAUAUGUUGUCUGAUGCAGUGAACUUAAUUUUCAGGGUCAAUUUUAAAAAGCUCUGUAUUUUUAUCUGUAAACUCAACAGAGAAGCAUGCAUGCAGCCUGAUGUUUAAAAGGUCAGAUUUUAAACUGAAGCUACUGUUCAGACCUCUUCCUUUGCAAGGAGAAGCAGGAACUGCUGAUUAGCUGCCUCCCAUCUCACUGUCCAGGUCCCCGGUGCAAGUCAAGAGCAGCCUCAGGGCUGGUCUACCUGUGCCUGGCUCCAGCAGGCCUUUGCUUCUCUUCCCCAACCCCAAGCGUACCGGGGAGAUGACGCCUGUGUAGAAGGACUUCCUGACUGGGCAGUCAACCCGGGAACCCAAACUGCAGUCCUGCAUCCCAUGGCGCUGGGUGCUGCGCAACCUCCACCAGGAAGGUGCUCACUGCUUYGGGGCAGGGCACCUGAAGCAUCAGCUGAGCUCACGGAUGGAGAGGGAGCAGAGGGCAGGGACACCUGCCUGUUGGCAGGCCCAAGGCUUGUCAAACUUUUGCAGGCAUAGAGGCAAAGGCAAAUGAGAAGGAAGUAUCUGAGAGAUGAUACAGCUGCUUUGCAGAGUACAGCCACAAUGGGAGCUGCAAUCACAGAGAAAACAGCACGUCUGUCUGAAACGCUAUUUCUGCUUUAUUGUGUAAAUACAGGAACUAUGACUUCAUGUCUCACACUUCAAGAGAUGUACUCUCAGGCUUGCUUUUGCCCAUAUUAGAGCUCUAAGAAAUCCAAAAUGUGUCUCUGUAUUUCAGUUCUGGCUUGAGGUUAAUCUCUAGAAACAAGUAAUGUAACAUUUCCAUCUAUCUUUUCUACUCUUUUGGCGGUUUUAAUUACGUUAAUAUGCUAUGACAAU
RNAcentral lists this long non-coding RNA (1228 nucleotides) under Apteryx rowi (Okarito brown kiwi). RNAcentral's name for it is "lncRNA (ENSARWG00000015359.1)". The record is from RNAcentral. Lineage: Eukaryota; Metazoa; Chordata; Aves; Apterygiformes; Apterygidae.